Molecule: ribosomal RNA, 301 nt
Filed under: uncultured bacterium
Lineage: Bacteria
Description: partial 16S ribosomal RNA
Rfam family: Bacterial small subunit ribosomal RNA
Source: RNAcentral
CAGCAGCCACGGGAAUACGAAGGGGGCUAGCGUUACUCGGAAUUACUGGGCGUAAAGGGCGCGUAGGCGGCACUGUUAGUCAGGCGUGAAAUUCCCGGGCUCAACCUGGGGACUGCGCUUGAUACGGCAGAGCUAGAGGAUGGAAGAGGGUCGUGGAAUUCCCAGUGUAGAGGUGAAAUGCGUAGAGAUCGGGAGGAACAUCAGUGGCGGAGGCGGCCAUCUGGGACAACACUGACGCUGAGGCACGAAAGCGUGGGGAGCAAACAGGAUUAGAGACCCCAGUAGUCCCUGUCUCUUAUAC